GAGUUUGAUCAUGGCUCAGAACGAACGCUGGCGGCAUGCCUAACACAUGCAAGUCGAACGGACCCUUCGGGGUUAGUGGCGCACGGGUGCGUAACGCGUGGGAAUCUGCCCUUGGGUACGGAAUAACUCAGCGAAAGCUGUGCUAAUACCGUAUGAUGUCUUCGGACCAAAGAUUUAUCGCCCAGGGAUGAGCCCGCGUUGGAUUAGCUAGUUGGAGAGGUAAAGGCUCACCAAGGCGACGAUCCAUAGCUGGUCUGAGAGGAUGAUCAGCCACACUGGGACUGAGACACGGCCCAGACUCCUACGGGAGGCAGCAGUGGGGAAUAUUGGACAAUGGGCGCAAGCCUGAUCCAGCAAUGCCGCGUGAGUGAUGAAGGCCUUAGGGUUGUAAAGCUCUUUUACCCGGGAAGAUAAUGACUGUACCGGGAGAAUAAGCCCCGGCUAACUCCGUGCCAGCCGCCGCCGUA
RNAcentral lists this ribosomal RNA (467 nucleotides) under uncultured Alphaproteobacteria bacterium. RNAcentral's name for it is "bacterial SSU rRNA". It matches the Rfam family "Bacterial small subunit ribosomal RNA", at positions 9 to 522 of the family's 1533-position model. Lineage: Bacteria; Pseudomonadati; Pseudomonadota; Alphaproteobacteria. The record is from RNAcentral.